This 448-nucleotide ribosomal RNA is filed under the name uncultured Nocardioidaceae bacterium. RNAcentral describes it as "bacterial SSU rRNA". It matches the Rfam family "Bacterial small subunit ribosomal RNA", at positions 337 to 797 of the family's 1533-position model. Lineage: Bacteria; Bacillati; Actinomycetota; Actinomycetes; Propionibacteriales; Nocardioidaceae. The record is from RNAcentral.
ACCUACGGGGGGCUGCAGUGGGGAAUAUUGGACAAUGGGCGGAAGCCUGAUCCAGCAACGCCGCGUGAGGGAUGACGGCCUUCGGGUUGUAAACCUCUUUCAGUAGGGACGAAGCGCAAGUGACGGUACCUACAGAAGAAGCACCGGCCAACUACGUGCCAGCAGCCGCGGUAAUACGUAGGGUGCGAGCGUUGUCCGGAAUUAUUGGGCGUAAAGGGCUCGUAGGCGGUUUGUCGCGUCGGGAGUGAAAACGCCGUGCUUAACACGGCGCUUGCUUUCGAUACGGGCAGACUAGAGGUAUUCAGGGGAGAACGGAAUUCCUGGUGUAGCGGUGAAAUGCGCAGAUAUCAGGAGGAACACCGGUGGCGAAGGCGGUUCUCUGGGAAUAUCCUGACGCUGAGGAGCGAAAGUGUGGGGAGCGAACAGGAUUAGAUACCCCAGUAGUCAG